Molecule: long non-coding RNA, 658 nt
Filed under: Chloebia gouldiae (Gouldian finch)
Lineage: Eukaryota; Metazoa; Chordata; Aves; Passeriformes; Passeridae
Description: Erythrura gouldiae (Gouldian finch) lncRNA (ENSEGOG00005006158.1)
Source: RNAcentral
AAUGUUCAAAAACAACCCAAACCACCUCAUCCUGGGUUAAAGAUGAGCUGCAGCACCUGGGGCUGGAUGGGAGGUCAAAGGAGGAACACUGGGGGACAUCAGUAGAUGCUGAGGUUGUGCUGGAGCUACGAGAUGGACCUGUUGUGUCAAAGAGGGAGCCCAGGAGAAAGACAAAGUGCUGGAGUGAAAGUGGUACAGAGGUCACUGCAGGCACCUGCUGUUUCUGGAAGUUUCUGUUUUGAGGUUCAGUGCCUUCUGCAGCUUUUGCAGAGUGCCAGGUCCACAAUCUGGUUUAGCAAAGGCCACUAGUCCACAUCCCUCUCCUAUGGGGCCCACAUGAAAAUCAGGAGUUUGAGAAGCAGAGUCAAGGCUUGGAACCAUCAAAUCCUAGAAGGGUUUGGGUUGGAAGUGACCUUAAAGAUUAUCUAAUUUCACCCCUGCCUCGGGCAGGGACAUUUUCCACUGUCCCAGGCUGCUCCAAGCCCUGUCCAACCUGGCCUUGGACAUUUCCAGGGAUCCAGGGGCAGCCACAGCUUCUCUGGGCACCCUGUGCCCAGGCCUCCCUACCCUCAGAAGGAAGAAUUUCCUCCUAAUGUCCCAUCUAACCCUGCUCUCCAUCAGUGAUGUAUUUUUCCUUCACGACAUCAGUGUACUAAGU